This is a non-coding RNA of Phalacrocorax carbo (great cormorant), 606 nucleotides long. The record is from RefSeq and is a predicted model, not a curated record. NCBI's taxonomy places the organism in Eukaryota, Metazoa, Chordata, Aves, Suliformes, Phalacrocoracidae.
CAAGGGUUGUGCGUGCAUAGACAGGAGGCGGAGAGUUGGUAUGCUCUCCUUACUGUUUGGCUGUAAAAAGUAGUGCAAAACUUCUUGCCCGGGAAGGAGAAGCGCUCGCCUUACUACACAUCAGCAGAUUAGAGGUUUAAUCCAAGAAGGGGAUCCAAGAUAAGGAAAUAGACGGAGUGCCGUUGUUUUACAGUCCAGAAAGAAAAUAGGGAUCAAGAGACCAACCUUGUCGGUGAAAACCAAACAUAAGCCAGGGGAGAGGAUGGGCAAGGAGGACAGGCUGCUGCAGCGAUACUGCAGAGCUGCCACUGGCCAAGGGCCCAGCAUAGGAAGCGGGCAUCACAGGUCUCUGCCUGGUGAAGGAAGGGACCAUCAUCCAAGGUGACGCAUAAUGUGAGGAAUAACAAGAAGAGAUGAAAGGGGAGCAAAGAUGAGAGGCCAGAGGAUGGAAAGACAGCAAGCAUUACAUGAUUGCUAGACAAGGGAUAGAAGAAUUUUGUGUGGCUUCUGAACAUAAAUUAACUAUUAUGGUUGUGCAGAGUCUCUCUUCUUUAGUGAAUUCCCCACUGUUUUUGCCUAGUGCUCGUGGGCAGGCAGUGGCAUGGA